Long non-coding RNA from Helianthus annuus (common sunflower), 321 nucleotides. RefSeq lists it as uncharacterized. The record is from RefSeq and is a predicted model, not a curated record. The transcript is spliced from 3 exons. NCBI's taxonomy places the organism in Eukaryota, Viridiplantae, Streptophyta, Magnoliopsida, Asterales, Asteraceae.
CCAGAGGAAGAAAUCAGGGAUUAAAACCCUAGUUCUUGAUCUUGUCCAUCAAAUUCAACCUUUAAAUCACAUGAUUCUGAUUUGCAUGUUGCUGAAUUAGAGUGCCUAACACCUUCUCUUCAUAAGGCAACACGAGUGAGGCGUCGGGAAGUCAAGCUGGUGCGGACACUCGCUUAAAAGGGAAGCUUUGAGCUUCAAACAUGUCAAGUGAACGGAUGAUGAUCAAUUCAAGGCUCACGAACCGAACACAUUCAAGAAGUAGUUCCGCAACUUUUUGUCUUAGUUAAACAUUAGUGAAACCUUUGUAAUAGAAGGAAUACU